This 254-nucleotide ribosomal RNA is filed under the name uncultured bacterium. RNAcentral describes it as "partial 16S ribosomal RNA". It matches the Rfam family "Bacterial small subunit ribosomal RNA", at positions 524 to 776 of the family's 1533-position model. The record is from RNAcentral.
CACGUAGGGGGCGAGCGUUGUCCGGAUUUAUUGGGCGUAAAGAGCUCGUAGGCGGUUCGGCAAGUCGGGUGUGAAAUUUCGAGGCUCAACCUCGAAACGCCACUCGAUACUGCUGUGACUGGAGUCCGGUAGAGGAGUGCGGAAUUCCUGGUGUAGCGGUGAAAUGCGUAGAUAUCUGGAGGAACACCGGUGGCGAAGGCGGCAUCCUGGACCGAGAUUGACGCUGAUGCGCGAAAGCCAGGGGAGCAAACGGG